CUCCAUCUCCGAUCGGCGACCCGCCCUGAGCCGGCGGAGCCGCUCGACGUUAGGGCCCCACCUCACCAGGCGACGGCGUGGGCAUCCUCGAUUCUCAGGGGUGUGGCGGCGUCGGCGGCGGCGCAACGGUGGGCGCCGUCCAUCCCUCCCAGCCGGCUCGGCCUGGUGACCGAUAUGCAUCCUGGUUGGUCACAAGGUGUUAUGCUCACGCCUCGAUAUGGUUCUUGCGUAGCCACAGAAAGGAGUAGCUACUAUGUGCUUACUCCAGCCACUGGAGUUGUAUACAACUUGCCUGUGAAUCCAGCAGAGGAGCAUGUGUACCAUGUCCAGUUGAUCACCUGCACAGACCUUACCCUCAUUUGCAUUUGGGCAUGUUGCUUCCAUGGGAGAGUACAAGGUGAUCCAUAUUUACAGACCUAG
RNAcentral lists this long non-coding RNA (420 nucleotides) under Oryza sativa Indica Group (long-grained rice). RNAcentral's name for it is "lncRNA OsMH63_07G009920". The record is from RNAcentral. Lineage: Eukaryota; Viridiplantae; Streptophyta; Magnoliopsida; Poales; Poaceae.